Molecule: long non-coding RNA, 7569 nt
Organism: Hordeum vulgare subsp. vulgare (domesticated barley)
Lineage: Eukaryota; Viridiplantae; Streptophyta; Magnoliopsida; Poales; Poaceae
Exons: 2
Source: RefSeq, a predicted model, not a curated record
CAUAGGCUGGAUGGAUCUAGCCAGGGCGGUAACCGCCUACUGCUAGCUGAGGAGCAGUGGGCUGUGCGACAAUAGAGGUCUAAAAAGCACGGACACGGGGAUGGAAAGGCAGGGGUACACAUACGGGGAUACGGAACACAUCAUUUUCCAAAAACAGCCAUUUGGGGAUAUGGUCGGUAUAUAUAAAAUAAAAUAAAUAUAUGCCAUUUAAUAUAGAGUUAAUACAGAAAAUUAAAGAGAAAGAGAGUAGAAUAGAGAAUACUGCCCCAUUCGUUGUCUCUUUUGUCAAGUGCUUGAUUGAUCCUUGUCCCCCAUGUCAUUGCAAGUUGCGUCUUGCAGAACACAUCAAACAGUAAAGAAGAUUAGAAGAGUAGAACACAUAACCGGAGGACUAUACAAUCACAUGAAAACAGGAAAGAUGUUUGCUUUGCUUACCCAAUUUGCAAUGCCAUUUGAGCUCCUAAUUGCAGAAUGGUUUAACAAUCUCAACACCGUAUUGCAAAUACAAACAAUAACAAAUUGACAAGCUCACAUAGACAUAGUCUAGCAGUCCCCACUAAGAACAUGACAAAUAGGAGCAUAACAAGGUUCAGAUGGGCAGAUGGCCGCAGAGUCUCAAACAGUUCAAAUGGGAAAUAGGCAGUUCAUAAGUACAUUACAUAACAUUAAAACAUAAAUGGAGAGAAUGACUGAUGAUCUCAUUCUCUCAUGGAGUGAAUGGCAGUAGACUCAAACUCAAGUGAGAGAAUAAAUGAUUUCCUCCUCCAAUUCUGGUCCAUCAAGUGAAAGAUCUGCAGAUUCAAGCAUGCCAACACCAGCAGAAGUCUCAACUCCAUCUCCCCCAACAUCCCACAUUCGGCUUGGCCCAGUUUGAUAUGCUUGAGAAUUCCUUGAAAGAAGGCGAUGGUUGUUGUGUGUGUACACCAAAUCAGCAGCUCGAUCAGGUGUUAGCUUGUUUCUUGCAGCACUAUGGAUGAAACCAUAUGUGCUCCAAUUCCUUCCACAGCAAGAGGAGGAUGCAGGCUGCCCAAGUACCUUCCAUGCUAAAUUUUUCAAUAGCUUUGUGCUGACUCCAUGAGUGCGCAACCAUUGUUUAGGUUCAAAAUCAGCUCUAUCUUCAAUAGAAUCUGGGUUUUCGUAGGCAUUCAUGAAAAGAGCAAAAUCAGCAAAUUCCUUCUUGAUGGUUUUGAAAUCCUCUUGACCUGGAUAGAACUUUCAAAAGCACUUGUUUCUCAUUUCCGUAACUUCAUGGCCAUCAUUGGGGCUGAUACGGCCAGGGACUUCAUUAAUCCAAGCUGGUGUAUAGCACCUAUGAUAUGAAGUAAAUAAAAUCAGCAAGCAUGAAACACCAACAUCUGUGAUCUAUGUAUCACUUUAGAAGUUCAGAAUUCAGAUUAUACCUUGGGUUUAGUGAGUGAGCUGGACACUGCAAAGGGGUAUUGCUCUUGGUCCAACGGGAAACAAGGAUCUCUUUAAUUAUGUCAUACUCCCUCCGUCUCAAAAUUCUUGUCUUAGAUUUGUCUAGAUAUAAAUGUAUCUAGUCACAGUUUAGUAUUUAGAUACAUCCAUGUCUAGACAAACCUAAGACAAAAAUUUGGGACGGAGGGAGUACAAGAUACACUCUUCACCAUGCUCCUUUCCUUCAAACCGAUAGAUAGGUAUUUUGACCUAUGAAGAAAAGAACAAAUAAAAUCAGAAUGUUCCACAAAUGGAAAAAACAUGCUCCACAAAUCAAAACAGCAUGCAAAUCAAUUGAAAGAUGCUUGAAGGCUUGAAGCAACUAAUCGUUUACCUUUUCUAUCAUGGAAUCCCACAUUUCAUAGAUCAAAUGGAGGCAUGGCUUGUCCGUGUCAGCCAACCUUAUGAUUGCAUAAAUAGGCUCGGUGAAAGAAACAAUGUAUUCAAUUCUAUCCCACCAAAUAUCAUUGAGAACAAGCUCCUUCACCCUCUGAGCUUUAGCUAUAUCAUCAUCCCUAUAAGCAGCCCAAUUAGGAUGGACAACCAUUUCAACAAGUGCAUCCUUGAUUAAUAGAAGCCUCUUGAGCAUGAUCACGACACCUGCGAAUCUAGUUUCUGCUGAAGGAACUUGAGUUUGCUAAACUCGUUGAACAUAGACAACCUCAUGCCCUGAUUCAUGACGAAGUUCUUAAUAAAAGAAGCAUCAUCAGUCGCCUCUUUGAUGAACCAAAGAUGGAAAUUGUCGCCCUCGUUGUUUUUUGGAUCACAUAUGUUCUUCAAUGCAAGAUUGAGAGUGUGCACAAUGCAAGGUGUCCAGAAGAUGUUCUUGUACUUUGCUUCAAUCAUCAACCCAGCAGCUUUGCAAUUUGCAGCAUUGCCGGUCACCACUUGAACCACACACUCAACUCCAACUUCCUCAAUCACUUCCUUCAGCUUCUCAAAGAUGUAUUCCUUGCUUUUUAUCUAGCAAUGAAGAUAACCACACAAGUCAGCGAGCAAUAUAUGCAACAAAGAGGACCAAGUAAAUUAUGCAGGUGCAAAGAAUUUACCUCUCCCUCGGUGUCAAUUGCCUUUAGGAACAUUGGACCACCUUUUGUCACAGCCAUGAAGUUUAAAAUGGGUCGCCUUUGAGGAUCAGACCACCCAUCCGUCGCAAUGGUCACUCCUUUGUUAGGCCAUGUUGAUUUAAUAGGCUCUAGGCUCCUCUGAAUGUGCUUCUUCUCUUGAUCAAGAAGAGUCGUCCUCAAUGAAUUAUAUCCUGGAGGCACGUACCCACCCAAGCUACUGUUUGCAAUGAAGGUGAUGGCUGCCCUAAAGUCAGGGUUCCUUGCAAGAUUGAAUGGAAGUCCUGCAAAUGAGUAAAUCGACAUUCAACAAAUCAGCAACACAUAAAUUUAAGUAUUUAACCAUGCUGGACAAGAAAAGAAAGGAGUGUUAUACAAAAUCACACACCUGCAGUAUAAAACAUUCUAGCAACAUGAGCAUCAACUUGUUGUGGGAUCUCUGCGUUAAAACUCUCUUCAAUAGUUGUUUGUUUUCUUUUUCUUGUUGGAGCAGAAGCAUUAAUGGGAGGUAAAUGAAUUGUUUGCUUGGUUGAACCAUGUUCAAUGAGUUGUUGGGCAGCCAAGCAAGGCUCCUGGCGCUGGGGUAGCAAUCGCCGGUCGAUUCCAAGCGUUGCAGGCGGCGGCGCGUUCCAGCAGGUGUCAGCUUCGAUCUAGAAGAGAAUGGGACCUGGGAGUUCCUCGUUGUUAUGUGGAGAACUGCGUGCGACCCUUGCAAAAUAGGGUUUUGUUUUGGGCCAAGGCUGUGUUUUGGGCUGUUUUUGGGCCGGGCCGUAUCGCUACCGUGCCCCUUAUGAUUCCUGCGUAUCCCUUAUUUUUUUUCUUUUUUAAAUCGAUCAUCAGGGGAUACUGCGGGAUACGUGUAUCCCGCCGUAUUAGGACGGCCAAUCAGCAAUUCCUGCCGUGUCCGUGCUUUUUAGGUAGAGGUACAACCAAGGCAGGUCCUCUGGCGGCAACAACACCUCAGGCAACAACAACUCUUGCCGUGGCAUUGGUUGACGGUGCUCCCGCACUACGUGCGUCGGCUGAUGCAAAAGUCAAGGUCAGAUGAGAAGUGGCGGCUGCAAGAAGUGCCACUAUUGUGGAAAGCUAGGCCACUGGCUCAUGAUUGCCGCAAGAAGCAGGCGGAGGCUCACCUGGUGCAGGCCGACGAGGUGUCAACGCCGUUGCUGAUGCAGGAGUGCACAACGCACCUUGCCACAACAGGACAAAGUCUUGUCAUGGUAGCGGAAUCUCCCCAAAAGAUCGCCAUGACAACUUCCCUUGUAGCAGACAUCACGGUAGGAAUCCUGCCAUGGCAUGGCUUUUGCCCCGAAUGGCUGCCAUGGUAGUGAUAGAUAGAGUACAAGUGCUUCUUCUUUGAUGAAGAGUGAGCUCGCAUCAAACUUCGGCAUGCCCCUGGUGAUGUUGAUGUGCCUUGGUACCUUGACACCGGUGUGUUAAACCAAAUGACUGGCAACGUGUCUGUCUUAGUCGGACCACAUGAAGUGGUACAGUGGAGGGCACGGUGAAGUUAGGUGACGAAUCUAUGGUGGAGAUAUGUGGAUGAGGCAUGAUCCUGUUUGCCAUGGUGGUUAGCUACCACCGCGGAUUGAAGAACGUGUAUUGAAUUUUUCGUCCAAAGAGCAACAUCGUCAGCAUUGGACACGAGAUUGGCCACUCGACGUACGUGGAGCAUGCCGACAUGGCAGUGCGUGAUCGGCGAAAGAACCUCCUUGACAAAGCGUCCACUAAGCAUAUGUACACCAUUCGUCUGAUCAAGCCGGUGUGCCUGGCAGCGAGCGAGAGCUACGAUGAGGGCUGGCGCUAGCACGGGAGGUUUGUAUAUUGCACUUCUACGGGCUCAAGAGGAUGGUACAUAGUGGCAGGGUGAUCGACUUCCUUGUGUUCGACCACGCAAAGUAGACAUGUGACGCCUGCUUGGUCGGAAAGCAGCAAUGGUCCCUAUUCCCGCAACAAGCCAAGUUUUGGGUUGCGGAGCUAUCGGAGCUUGUCCCUGGCGACAUCCGUGGACUGAUAUCACCGGCGAUGCCCGGUGAGAAACGCUACCUCCUCCUAUGGACGACUACAACCGUUACCCUUGGUUGGUGUUGCUUCGCUCCAAGGACAAGGCCGCCAACGCCAUUCGCCGUUACGUGCCCGCUGUUGAGUUCGUGUCACACGGUACACACUUUUCGGACGGAUCACGACGAGGAGUUCACAUGCACCACCUUUGCCGAGUGUUGCGUGGGCCAUGGCAUCCGGUGGCGCCUCACAGUGCCAUUCAUGCCGCAACAAAAAGGCGUCAUCGAGCGUCAGAAGCAUACUAUCAUGGGCAUGAGGAGGAACAUGCUCAAAGCGAAGGUAGUGCCUCCCGUCUACUAGGGUGAGGCCGUCACGGUUUCUUCAUCCUGAAAAGCUCAUGCAUGUGUUGUUUGUCUCAAAAGAUGCCAUUCUAGGCUUGGCAUGGACGCAAGCUGUACAUGUAUUUUGUCUGACACUUUUAGUUGGGUCGCACACGUCAAGGAUAUGCACCCACAUCUCUAGAAGCCCGUGGACAAGAGCAAGCCCAUGGUGCUCCUCGGGUACGAGGCUAGUGGCUAGGCAUACUAUGUCUUCGAUCUGGCGGCAAAGCGUGUGCAUGUCACACGCAACGUCGUCUUUGACCAACGGGCAAGCUGGGAUUGGGUGUGAGGAGCAGCCCGCAAGCACGUCCUUGGCACCUCACCGUCGAGUAAUUGGCGCCCAACACGCCCAAGGAGACGCGACGCACCAGAUGUCGUGGAGGACCUGGGCGAGGCGCCUGGUAUGAUAACGGAUCCUGGCAGAACCGUUGUCAUGUUAGUAGAAAAGACUGCUAUGGCACUAGUUUCGCACGAAAGUGCUGUUACUGCAUCCGUUUCACCCAAGAAUUUUGCCAUGUUAGCAUCGGCGGCAACGACGACCGCAACUAUUACCACGACAACAAGAAGCGGUUCCACGACAACCCUUUUGCCCCAAUUGGUUAACAUGAUAGACCUUGACUUGGCGAAUCUGUCAUUCGGCAUACUACCCUCGUUGCUGCCAGCACGUAUGCACUUGAUGACUAUGCGCGGGGAUGACGGUUUUAUGCAGCCCAAUAUGCAGUUCAAUAGCAAUGUCAUUGCCGAUGACGGAGAAGAGCUGCACCUCGACACGACCGAGGAGCCUGCCAAGCACGACCUAACGACAUGCCUUGGACGAGGAGAUGGCGUCCAUUGAGGAAAAACGUACAUGGCUCCCAUAGGCCUGAAGUGUGUGUACAAGGUCAAGAACACGGGCACGGUGUGGUGCUGCGGCACAAGGCACACUUUGUGGCAAAGGGUUAUGUGCAGUGCGAGGGGGGUGGACUAUGAUGAAGUGUUCGCCCCUGCGGCUUGUCUCGAGUUUGUGCGGCUCUUGCUAGCUCUGGCAACAUGCGCCGCUGGGACGUGCACCACAAGGCCGUAAAGUCCACCUUCCUGACCGACAAACUUCAGGAGGAGGUGUACAUUGCACAAUGCUGGGAUACGCCUUUUCUGGACAAGAGGGGAAAGUGCUAUGCCUUAACAGGCUCGACGCACUGAAGCAAGUGCCACGUGCUUGGAACCAAAAGUUUGAUCGUUCUCACUCGGUUUCGAGCGGAGCGCCAGAGAGCACGCAGUCUAGGUUCGCGGCACCACCAUGUCUCGUCUGCUUGUUGGCGUCUAUGUCGUCAUGGGCUUGGACGUCGGGAAACUGAACACUUCAAGGAGCAUUUAUAGUCAAUCUCUUUCUAUAUAUGUAAAGUCAAGAAAUUCUCAUCGAAACAUCUAGAGAUUGUGCAUAUAGAAAACUCUUAAGGAAAGAAAAAAAAGAGAUCCAUGCCAUGAUUUUCAAAUCUUUUCUAUUUAGUAGUCUAAGUUUCUCGCUGAGGGUAAUUAAUUCAGUCGCUGUUGUUGGACUCUAUUACGGAGUUCUGAUUGCCAACACACUGAACUGGGGUUGUCACUACUCAUGGGGAAGCGGUGACGAGUACCUCGUCUGCUACAGCGACAAUGUCAUGACCGGUGAUCCUAACACUCGUCUGACCGCUCUGUCGCCAUGUUCUCUCCUAUGCCAACAAUGUUAACAGCUGGCUGUCGCUCAAAUAGAAUGUAGUGCCUUUGUCGUUGUACGAAGCAGAGUACUUAGCUGCCACCGCGGCAGUGUGCUAAGGAAUUUGGCUCACUUGGUUCCUCAAUGAACUGAAGGAGGAGCCAGCCUGCGUUAAACUCUACAUUGACAACUAAUCUGACAUCUCAUUUGCUAAAAAUCCAGUUUUCCACAACCAAAGCAAUCACAACGACGGAGAAGCCACGAAGGUUGAGGUGAAGUUCGUUGGCACCAACGGACAGCUCGUCGACAUUCUCAUCAAAGCUCUUGGGAGUGUUUGCUUCAUGGACCUUCCUGCAAAGAUCGGCAUGGUCGAAGUUGACAAUGGCACAUGCUUUAGGGGUGAUAUUUUUGGGAUAAACCCCGUGGCCUGUCACAUUCUUUUCCUUCUGUUUUCCCCUUUCACAUAAAAUAACGCAGGGGUCGUCAUGGGUUUGCUUGCGAGCUAGUCUAGCGGUGCCAUGAGCUGCGCGAGGUGAUCCUAGAGUGGCCAGAUGGCACGACUUGCAUGAGGGGCAAAAUCGCUUCACUCUCGGUCUUUUCUGUCGGAGUUUGUUAGCCACAAAUAAGCAAUGGCAAGUAUCAGAAAAGCUGUGAGAUGGCACAAAUCGCAUGAGGGGCAAAAUCGCUUCACUCUUAGUCUUUUCUGUUGGAGUUUGUUAGCCACAAAUAAGCAAUGGCAAGAAUCAGAAAAGCUGCGGAAGUUUGAGCAGUGCUAAACCACAUGUGUCAUCGUCUUGCUCGGUCAUCUCUCUCUCACGCGUGUGUUUGUCAGGAAGCAAAUAGGGUGUUGACACAUGCACACAUGAGUGCACUGGCGUGCCCAUGAAAUACUGAAGUGCACACUCAUUUUCUUGCUCGAAGUGGAGGUUCUGGAUUGAAUUAUUCUUUUAUGAGGGUACUAAGAGGUAAAAUAUAAUAUUUUUUGUUGGUACGGUUU